Molecule: ribosomal RNA, 433 nt
Filed under: uncultured bacterium
Lineage: Bacteria
Description: partial 16S ribosomal RNA
Rfam family: Bacterial small subunit ribosomal RNA
Source: RNAcentral
AACGAACGCUGGCGGCAUGCCUAACACAUGCAAGUCGAACGAGACCUUCGGGUCUAGUGGCGCACGGGUGCGUAACGCGUGGGAACCUGCCCUUAGGUUCGGAAUAACUCCCCGAAAGGGGUGCUAAUACCGGAUAAUGUCUUCGGACCAAAGAUUUAUCGCCUUUGGAUGGGCCCGCGUUGGAUUAGCUAGUUGGUAGGGUAAAAGCCUACCAAGGCGACGAUCCAUAGCUGGUCUGAGAGGAUGAUCAGCCACACUGGGACUGAGACACGGCCCAGACCCCUGGGGGAGGCAGCGGGGGGGAAUAUUGGAAAGGGGGCAAACGCCUGACCCAGCAGUGCCGCGUGAGGGAGAAGGGCCUGGGGGUUGUAAAUCUUUUUUCCCCGGGAUGAAAAUGACAGCCCGGGGAAAAUAGGCCCCGACUAACCCCGUC